GUGGUUUAAUUCGAAGCAACGCGAAGAACCUUACCAAAUCUUGACAUCCUUUGACCGCUCUAGAGAUAGAGUUUUCCUCUUCGGAGGACAAAGUGACAGGUGGUGCAUGGUUGUCGUCAGCUCGUGUCGUGAGAUGUUGGGUUAAGUCCCGCAACGAGCGCAACCCUUGAACUUAGUUGCCAUCAUUCAGUUGGGCACUCUAAGUUGACUGCCGGUGACAAACCGGAGGAAGGUGGGGAUGACGUCAAAUCAUCAUGCCCCUUAUGAUUUGGGCUACACACGUGCUACAAUGGACAAUACAAAGGGCAGCGAAACCGCGAGGUCAAGCAAAUCCCAUAAAGUUGUUCUCAGUUCGGAUUGUAGUCUGCAACUCGACUACAUGAAGCUGGAAUCGCUAGUAAUCGUAGAUCAGCAUGCUACGGUGAAUACGUUCCCGGGUCUUGUACACACCGCCCGUCACACCACGAGAGUUUG
RNAcentral lists this ribosomal RNA (474 nucleotides) under Staphylococcus pseudintermedius. RNAcentral describes it as "bacterial SSU rRNA". It matches the Rfam family "Bacterial small subunit ribosomal RNA", at positions 941 to 1414 of the family's 1533-position model. Lineage: Bacteria; Bacillati; Bacillota; Bacilli; Caryophanales; Staphylococcaceae. The record is from RNAcentral.